GACGAACGCUGGCGGCGUGCUUAACACAUGCAAGUCGAACGGAAAGGCCCUUCGGGGUACUCGAGUGGCGAACGGGUGAGUAACACGUGGGUGAUCUGCCCUGCACUUUGGGAUAAGCCUGGGAAACUGGGUCUAAUACCGAAUAGGACCACGCGCUUCAUGGUGUGUGGUGGAAAGCUUUUGCGGUGUGGGAUGGGCCCGCGGCCUAUCAGCUUGUUGGUGGGGUAAUGGCCUACCAAGGCGACGACGGGUAGCCGGCCUGAGAGGGUGACCGGCCACACGGGGACUGAGAUACGGCCCAGACUCCUACGGGAGGAAGAGGUGGGGAAUAUUGCACAAUGGGCGAAAGCCUGAUGCAGCGACGCCGCGUGAGGGAUGACGGCCUUCGGGUUGUAAACCUCUUUCAAUAGGGACGAAGCGCAAGUGACGGUACCUAUAGAAGAAGCACCGGCCAACUACGU
This 461-nucleotide ribosomal RNA is filed under the name uncultured bacterium. Its description in RNAcentral is "partial 16S ribosomal RNA". It matches the Rfam family "Bacterial small subunit ribosomal RNA", at positions 28 to 506 of the family's 1533-position model. The record is from RNAcentral.